Molecule: long non-coding RNA, 79 nt
Filed under: Struthio camelus australis
Lineage: Eukaryota; Metazoa; Chordata; Aves; Struthioniformes; Struthionidae
Description: lncRNA (ENSSCUG00000011963.1)
Source: RNAcentral
CUUAGAAGUAGCCAUUAUAUCUUGCAAAACCAUGGCUGGGACAUCUCAGAUGUAAAGUGACUGUUAAGACUGGUCUAUU